UACGGAGGGUGCAAGCGUUGUCCGGAUUUACUGGGUUUAAAGGGUGCGUAGGCGGGCCAUUAAGUCAGUGGUGAAAGCUCCGAGCUUAACUCGGAAACUGCCAUUGAUACUAUUGGUCUUGAAUUCGGUCGAGGUUGGCGGAAUGUGUCGUGUAGCGGUGAAAUGCUUAGAUAUGACACAGAACACCGAUUGCGAAGGCAGCUAGCUAGACCGACAUUGACGCUGAGGCACGAAAGCGUGGGGAUCAAACAGG
Molecule: ribosomal RNA, 253 nt
Filed under: uncultured bacterium
Lineage: Bacteria
Description: partial 16S ribosomal RNA
Rfam family: Bacterial small subunit ribosomal RNA
Source: RNAcentral